This 108-nucleotide ribosomal RNA is filed under the name Scophthalmus maximus (turbot). Lineage: Eukaryota; Metazoa; Chordata; Actinopteri; Pleuronectiformes; Scophthalmidae. The record is from RNAcentral.
GCUUACGGCCACACCGCCUGGUUCACACCCGAUCUCGGAAGCUAAGAUAGGUUGGGCUGGUUAGUACUUGGAUGGGAGACCGCCUGGGAAUACCAGGUGCUGUAAGCU